CCGGGUCCUCCCUGCGUGGAGUUUGCAUGUUCUCCCCGUGUCUGCGUGGGUUUCCUCCGGGCACUCCGGUUUCCUCCCACAGUCCAAAGACAUGCAGGUUAGGUGGAUUGGCAAUUCUAAAUUGGCCUUAGUUGUGUGCUGGGUGUGUUUGUGUGUGUCCUGUGGUGGGUUGGCACCCUGCCCGGGAUUGGUUCCUGCCUUGCACCCUAUGUUGGCUGGGAUUGGCUCCAGCAGACCCCCGUGACCCUGUGUUCAGAUUCAGCGGGUUAGAAAAUGGAUGGAUGGAAGUUAAUUA
Molecule: long non-coding RNA, 295 nt
Organism: Erpetoichthys calabaricus (reedfish)
Lineage: Eukaryota; Metazoa; Chordata; Cladistia; Polypteriformes; Polypteridae
Exons: 2
Source: RefSeq, a predicted model, not a curated record